Molecule: non-coding RNA, 16640 nt
Organism: Oryctolagus cuniculus (rabbit)
Lineage: Eukaryota; Metazoa; Chordata; Mammalia; Lagomorpha; Leporidae
Source: RefSeq, a predicted model, not a curated record
GAUAACUAACUACCCACAGAUAUUUUAUAUAUAAAUUACAAUUAAGAUUGGUUAAUGUAGGCCACUUCUUUUUCAAAGUGUAAACAUUAGACUUGUAAUGACAUAAUGUAUAUCAGUAUUUUGACAUUGCUUAUGACUUCUUCCCUUGUUUUUAAGGAAAAAAAGGGGCAAUCAUAUUAAUUAAAUCUGUUUCUCCUAUUAGAAUAUCUCCAUUGUUCUUACUUAAAUUUAGAAAUCUGAUUGACAAACACUAUGGUUUUUUUAAGAAACAACCGUGGACCAGCGCCACGGCUCACUUGGCUAAUCCUCCGCCUGCGGUGCCGGCACCCCUGGUUCUAGUCCCCUUUGGGGCACCGGAUUCUGUCCUGGUUGCUCCUCUUCCAGUCCAGCUCUCUGCUGUGGCCCGGGAAGGCAGUGGAGGAUGGCCUAAGUGCUUGGGCCCCUGCACCUGCAUGGGAAACCAGGAGAAGCACCUGGCUCCUGGCUUCAGAUCAGCACAGUGCUGGCCGUAGCGGCCACUUUGGGGGUGAACCAAUGGAAGGAAGACCUUUCUCUCUCUCUCUCUCUCACUGUCUGACUGCCUGUCGGGGAAAAAAAAAGAAAGAAGUAACCAUGAAAGCAGUAUAAUAAGUACUUUUAACUUCCAUCAUCUCAUUUUGUGAAACUGUAUGCAGCAGUAGAGCAAGUAAUAGCCACAUUUUUUAAAAAACAGAUUUAUUUAUUUAUUUGAAAGGCAGAGUUAUAGAGAGGCAGAGGCAGAGAGAAAGAGAGAACUCCUCCAUCCACUGGUCCACUCCCCAAAUGGCCCCAAUGGCUGAAGCUGGGCCUAUCCAAAGCUAGGAGCCAGGAGCUUCCUCUGGGUCUCCCAUGUGGGUGCAGGGUCUCAAACACUUGAGCCAUCUUCUACUGCCUUCCCAGGUCAAUUGCAGAGAGCUGGAUCAGAAGUGGAGCAGCCGAGACUCGAACUGGCACCCACAUGGAAUGCUGACAUCACAGGCGUUGGCUUUCUCAGCUAAUGCCACAGAGCUGGCCCUGAUAGCCAUGCUUUUAGGAGACUUAAAAUUAAGCAAAAUAAGCCAGACCUAGAAACUACUACUGCAUAUUCUGUCACUUAUACGUGGAAGCUAAAAAAGUCGACUUCAUGGAAGAGGAGAGUAGGAUAGUGGUCACUAGAGGUUAGGGAGGGUAGGGUGGUGGAUGGAGAAAGAAGUUGCAUAGGGAGUACCAGAAUAUAGGUAGUAUAGGGGAAUAAAUUUAUAAUUUACAACAAUUUACUGUACAUUUUAUAAAGAAUGAGGAGUUUGACGGUUCCUAAUACAAAAAAUGAUAAAUGUUUAAGGAGAUGGAAAUGGCCUAAUUUGGCCAUUAUACAUUGUAUGUAUGUUAUAUCAAGUUAUAACACUACCCCGUAACAUGCACAAUUAUUAUAUUUCACUUUAAAAAACUACUGGGGCCUGCAUCGUGCCAUAGCAAGUAAAGCUGCUGCCUGCAGUGCCAGCAUCCUUUAUGGGUGCUGGCCUUGAGUUCUGGCUGUUCUACCUCUCAUCUGGCUCCCUGCUAAUAGGCCUGGGAAAAGGAACAAGAGAUGGCCCAAUAGCUUGGGUCCAUGCUACCCAUGUGCGAGCCCUGGAAGAAGCUCCUGGGUCCUGGCUUUUACUUGGCUCACACCUAGCUGUUGUGGCCAUCCAGGGAGUGGACCAACAGGUGGACCAUCCCCGCCCCCACCCCGUAGUUCUGACUUUCGAAUAAAUAAAUCUUAAAAAACAAAUGUCUAAAAGGAAAAGGCCCAUUUUAUAAAUAAAGAAGCUAAUACUUGAUACUUAAAUAUGAAGCUGCAGAACCAUCAAAUGGUUUUACUUUGGUAAAGAUUCCAGUUUUUCUGAAGAUUAAUCCAGGGCUCUGCAAUAUGCUACAGUGUAGAUAAUAACAUUUUAUUCACUUAUUUCAAAACACUUUUUAGUACCUACUGUUAGGUUUUCUGCUAGGUGCUGUGGGAACAUUUAGAAACUGAAAGGAAAGCUGCACAUUUUGCUCUCAGGGUAUGUACAGGAGACAGAAUUUACACAACAAACAAGCGUGAAUGGGACAGUUACAGAGCCAGAAACAAGGUAAGUGGAGGGAAGGGUAGUGGAGCAUAAGAGGGAAAAAAUAAAGAAAAUGUAGGCCGGUGCCGCGGCUCACUAGGCUAAUCCUCCGCCUGCGACGCCGGCACCCCGGGUUCUAGUCCCGGUCAGGGCGCCGGAUUCUGUCCCGGUUGCCCCUCUUCCAGGCCAGCUCUCUGUGGUGGCCCGGGAGUGCAGUGGAGGAUGGCCCGAGUGCUUGGGCCCUGCACCCGCAUGGGAGACCAGGAGAAGCACCUGGCUCCUGGCUUUGGAUCAGCGUGAUGCGCCAGCCGCAGCGGCCAUUGGGGGUGAACCAACUGAAGGAAGACCUUUCUCUCUGUGUCUCUCUCUUUCUCUGUCCACUCUGCCUGUCAUAAAAAAAAAAAAAUGUAGAAAGGUUGCAGUAGGGAUUACUUUUAAGAGUUUUGAGUAGGUAUUCACAGUGUGUGAUUCCUGGGGAAAAAGUUGUUUUUGCCUUUUUCCUUUCUUACCAUUUUCAGUGGGUGCAUGUGGAAGGGACUACGGAAGUGUGGAGUUGGAUGAGAGAUGCAUAGUAACGAGAGUAGUGAUCUAAGCCUUCAGGCAGAAGUGGAUUGGCAUUUCUCUAUCAUUGUGUCAGAUGUGUCUCUACGGAAGAAAUGCAGGAUUUCUUUCUAUGGGAAAUACGCUUUUCUCUUUAGUGGAAUAAAAUCCAAGAUACUUUGCUUUAAUUUAUUUGAGAGGGGCUCUUCUCUGAGGUUUGUUCAAGGUCAUUGAGAUUCACUAGAAAACAAACCCUCAGCAGUAAUUGAGGGUGGGCAUAGGCCUUGUGAAAGCAUCGCCUUUGCUAAGUGAGGUCAGCCCUCCCUUGUUCAGUACAAUAUGUCCAUUUUCCACUAAUUUUUUUCUGUAGCAGGAAAUGCACUUGGAAUAGCAAUUACUAGACUGUUGACACUUUCACAUUUAUUUUUAAGUAUCUUGGUUACUUUUAAAGAGUUUAAGGUAAGUUUUAGUGAAAGACACAUACAAAGAAAAUAAUACAUACUAUACAGCAAUGUAAACAUAAGAUUAAAGUUCAGAACCUGUGUGUCUGAUGGGAUGAAAGAUGUUGAUGAUUUUUCUAAUCAGCAGCCAAUGCUUGCUGUUGACUAUGUGACACAUCCUGUGGGUACUUUCUUACUUCAUCCCUACAGAUAGCUGUGCUUAUUUUGCAGAUGAGGAAACUUAGUAAGUCUGUAGGAUCUUUGUACUAGGAAAUGAUCAGUUGGUGGUGGAGAGUAGGGCAGGGGAUAAAGGGAGAGCAAGGGGCUGCUGCUGUGGCGUAGUGGGUAAAGCCACUGCCUGCAGUGCUGGCAUUCCAUAUGGACGCCGGUUUGAGUCCUGGCUGCUCCAUUUCUGAUCCGGCUUUCUGCUAUGGCCUGGGAAAGCAGUAGAAGAUGGCCCAAGUCUUAGGGAUCCUGCUCCUGUGUGGGAGACCCAGAAGAAGCUCCUGGCUCCUGGCUUCAGAUCUGCGUAGCUUCAGCUGUUGUGGCCAUCUGGGGAGUGAACCAACUCUCUGUCUCUCUCUCUCUCUGCCUCUCUGUAACUCUGCCUUUCAAAUAAAUAAAAUAAAUAUUUUUUGAAAAAAGGUGGAGAGCAAUAGGUACCCAAAACUGUAAGGGCGGAUGUUGUUGCUCUGAUCAUACUGACGGUUAAGAUAGAAUGUGAUAUGUUGACUGCAUUUUUUGUCACAGUCAUCUUGCGUCCAUAUUUCUACUAGUGCAGCAGUUACUUUAGAGACCUUUUUGCCCCCUUUCAUCCGCUCAUUGUUUUCCUCUAAUUUCUUAUGAACUCUAUAUGGAGCGUAAGGUGAUUAAAUGAAAAUGAUACAAAGAAAUUCUAAAGUCAAGCCUGUCCUUUUAAAAACUUGCAUGAGGGGGUGGUUUUUGGCUCAGUGGUUAAGACAUUACUUGGGAUGCGCACAUCCCUUAUCAGAACGCCAGGGUUUGAGUCCUGGCUCUGCUCCCAAUUCCAGCUUCCUGUUAGGACCGUGGGAGGCAGCAGGUGAUGGCUUAAGCAUUGGGAUCCCUGGUGCUCACUUGGACACCCAGAUUGAGUUCCUGGCUCCUGACUUCAACCUGAUCCAGUCCCAGCUGUUGUAGGCAUUUGAGUUACUAAACUAGAUGAUGGGAGAUCUCUGUCUGUUGCUGUCUCCCUGCCUUUCAAAUUUACAAAAAUCUAAAAAAAAAAAAAAAAAGUCUAAGAUUAAAAAAACCCAUGAAUAUGUUACUUCUUUUUGGCUCUUUGUAUACUGCAUCAGUUUGUGCACUCACCAGUAAUGUAUGUAAGUUGAAUAUAUUUUAUAUAUUUUGUUGGGCAUUUUUCUUUCUUUUUCUGUGAACUUCCCUGCUCAUCAUUUUUGUAUUAAUCUAUUCAUUUUUCUAUUAGCCUAUGCAUACAUAUUCUUGGCAAAUUAAGGAGAUUGACCUGCUUAUUAUAUAUUACAUAAUACAUAAUUAUGCAUACAUAUUUUCUCCCUGUGUUUUGUUUUUUUAAAGGUUUUCUUCAUUUAUUUGAGAGGUGGAGUUACAGACAGAGAGAGAGACAGAGAGAAAGGUCUUCCAUCCGCUGGUUCAUUCCCUAAAUGGUCGCAAUAGCUGGAGCUGGGCAAAUCCGAAGCCAGGAGCCAGGAAUUUCUGCUAGGUCUCUCACACAGGUUCAAGGGCCCAAGCACUUGGGCCAUCUUUUGCUGCUUUCUCAGACCAUAGUAGAGAGCUGGAUUGGAAGAGGAGCAGCUGGGACACGAACCGGCAUCCAUAUAGGGUACUGGUGCCACAGGUGAAGGCUUAGCCUCCUACACCUCAGGGCUGGCUCCUCCCUACGGCUUCUUGCUUCUGUGACUUAUAUAAAGAAUUUUACAUAUGCUGGUUGAGGUUUUUUUUUUUUGCCUAUGUUUCUUAUAAUUCUUAUUAUUUUAUGUUUAAAUCUUUUUCUAACAGCUUUAUUGAGGCAUAAUUGUAUACAAUUAAGUCUUUAGCUCAUCUGGAAUUACUUUUUUGUUUAUGAGGUAGGAACUUAGGUUUGCUUAUUUUCCAACCAGCGAACCAAGGGGAUUAAUGGCAUUUAUUAAAUUAUAAUUUUGGUGUUUUAUACUAUCCCAUUAAUCUCCACUUUAAAAAUUACAAAUAGUUUUAAUAUCCAUUAAGGCUUAUUUCCCUUCAGUGUUUUGUAUUUUAUAUUGUCAAGUUACAGAAAAGAAUCCACUAGAAUUUUAAUUGUGGUUGUAUUGAAUUUAAAGACUUUCGAGAGAAAAAACAAUACUUAAAAUGGUAUUUUUCAAAGUAAAAGCUUUUAACUUUCAGUUUACUUUUUAAAGUUUUUAUUAUUUGUUACUUAUUUAUUUGAGAGGCAAAGAGACAGGUAGAGAUAGUGUUCCUGCCCACUGUUUCACUCCCCAAAUGCUUGCAGUGGCCCAAAGCCAGGUGCCAAUAAUUGAAUCCAAAUCUCUCACAUGAAUGGCAGUGACCUAGGUACUUGAACCUUCACUGCUGCCUCCCAGGGUAGCAGGAAGCUGGAGUCAGGUGGGUAUCCAUGCACUCCAAUGGGGGACUGUAAGUUUGUUAUACUAGGCCGGGGCCAGUGCUGUGGCGCAGUGGGUUAAAGCCCUGGCCUGAAGUGCCGGCAUCCCAUACGGGUGCCAGUUCUAGUCCUGGCUGCUCCUCUUCCAAUCCAGCUGUCUGCUGUGGCCUGGGAUGGCAGUAGAGGAUGGCUCAGGUCCUUGGACCCCUGCACUCGUGUGGGAGACCUGGAGGAGGCUCCUGGCUUCAGAUCAGCAUAGCUCUGGCCGUUGCGGCCAUCUGGAGACUGAACCAACGGAUGGAAGACCUCUCUCUCUGUCUCUACCUUUCUCUGUAACUCUUUCAAAUAAAUAAAAUAAAUCUUUAACAAAAAAAAGCACUAGGCCAAACACCUACCUCUAAAUUUGUUUUUUUUUUUUUAAUGGCCCUGAGUAGUUUGUUUUCUUCAUGUGACUGUUGCAAAUUUGUCUAUCUGACCCAGCCUCUGUCACACGCCAUAUAAAACCUGGCCAUCGGCAGAUGAUUGUUAGCCAGCCCAGGUAUAAUACAGACUUGCCAGUUUGCCAUAGACAAGUAACAGGCAGUUCUCCACUGCAGCUGCCGUCAGGUGGGGCUUCACAGAGGAGAGCACAAGCAGAGAGAAGGUGGGGGCUCCUGAGUCUCAUGGGGAUAAUCUCUUUGUUAUUACUGUUGUAAAUUGAAUCUUUGUGUUUUUUUUUUUUUUUUCCUAACUGGCUAGGAAAAUCUGGCAUGUUUUUAUUUUUCUAGACACUGUAUUUGGUCGACUUGUGAUUGUAUAUCUGAAAUCUUAGAAAAUCUAAUCUUCAAGAAAUACUGUUUUUCUCUUCCUUUUAAGUAUUCAUGGUCAUUCCUUUUUCAUCGUAAAGUAUUCAGCUUUUGCUUUCUCUCUCUUGUUUUUAAUCAGAGUAGAUGUUCAAGUUUUGUGAAUGCUUUUUGGGCACAAAUGUGUUAAUUUUUUUCUUCUUUAAAACCUUUUAAUAUGGUGAAUAUUGGAAGUGGUGAACUAUUGUUGUACUUCUUCAAUAAACUGCACUUACUUGUAAUAAAGUAUUCCUUUGUAGCAUUAUUAGUUUAUACCCACUAGUAUUUUACUUAACAUUUGAAAUUAUUCCUAAAUGAGAUUUCAUUGCAGUUAAUUAAAAUGUCUGUGUAAUUGUUAGGCUAUGCUAGCUUCAUAAUUUGGUAGCUUUCCUUCCUUCUGUUCUGAAAAAUUUCAUGUUUUAUUAAAAUUGUUUCUUAACAGUUCAGAAAUACACUUGUGAAAUUGCUUUGGUCUAAUAUAAUUGUUUAGGAAGAGUCACUCUUUGGUAACAUUUUUCUUUUUUAGUUAUUGCUUUUUGUUUGUCUUCCAAGUCAAUUAUACAUGAUUUGUAUUUUCCUAGAAAGUUGUUCAUUUCUAGUUUCUAAAUUUAUUUGUGUAGUGUUUUGCAAAGUAAUGUUACAUGGUGCUUUUAUCUUUAUAUCUGUACCUAUUUUACCUUUGCGCCUCUAAUUUUCUACCUACUUACUCCUUCUCCUUCAUUAAAUUAUCCAGAAUUUAAUCUUCAUUGACAUGUAUCAAGAAUCAGCUCUUGAAUUUAUUUCUGAUUUCCUUAGCUUAUUUCCUUUUUCCUGGAAAGUCAACUGCCUAAUUCAUCUUUGUGUAAUUCAUUUUAUCUAUCUAUGUUUUGUAGUUGUUGUUGAACCAUUUUAAAAACUUCAUUUAAAAGUUUUAUUUAUUUACUUGAGAGACAAAGAGAGACAGACAGAAACCUCAUCUGCUGACUUACUUCCCAAAUGCCUGCAACAGACAGACUGGGCCAGGCUAACGCUGGGACCGGGAGCCAGGAGCUCAAUCCAGAUCUCCCACACAGGGGGCAAGAACACGAUUAUUGGAGCCAUCACCGCUGCCUGUUAGAAUUUACAGCAACAGGAGGCUGGAGCCAGGGUCCAGAGCUGGCAGUUGAACCCAGGCACUCCGAUGCAGGCUUUGGGCAUCCUGACUGCCAGGCCAAAUGCCUGCUCUGCGGACUUUGUGGUGAAACUUUUCAAACUUGUGGGAAAGUAGGGAAGCUGGGCCACAUGUCUGGCCCAGGGUUUAAGAUGCCAUGUGGGAUGCCUGCAGCCCAUAUUGGAGUGCCUGGAGUCCCCGCUGACCUUCCAGUUCCAGCUUCGUGCUAAUGCACACCCUGGGAGGCAGCAGUGAUAGUUCACGUAGUUGAAUUCCAGGAUCCUGACUUCAUUCUGGCCCAGCCCCUGCUAUUGCAGGCAUUGAGGAGUGAACCAGCAGGUGGAAGCUCUCUCUAUCUCUGUCAGUCUUAAAAAUAAAUAAAUAAUUGUUUUUAAAAAUAGAGAAAUUUAUAAUAACAACCCUCCCACUAGUGGUCCCACCCCCAUCGCCGCUGUUUACCCAUCACCAAGCUUACUGAAUAAUUUUACACUGAAAAUAAAGACAUCAAGAUACUUGACACCAACUACUUCAGUAUCUGUGUCCAAGAAACAAGGACCUCCUCUGGCCAGCUGUGCUAUUGUCACAUCACCAAAAGUAGCAGCCUAAUUCCCCAGUGUUAUGCCAAGUACAUGUUGGAAUGUAUCCACUUGUCCUCUAGAUGGUCUUUAUUUUUUUUUUGUUUUUCAAAUGGCACAGAUUUGCCAGAGAUCACUGUGUCACGUGGAGUGUCCCACAUGAUGGAGUUGUAUAGUUUUCUUUCCUUGUGUCAUUUAACUGGUCUGUUAGCCUCUAUAUUUUCUGCAAACUGGAAGUUAGAUGUAGCAGUUUAAUUAGAUUCAGAUUAAAUAGGAGGCAUGUAGUGAUUGCUUUUAUUACUAUUAGUGAUCCUGGGUUUGUUAGUGAUAAUUAUAUCUCUGUUUUAAAGCUAGAAGUUUUUGUUUAAUUAAGAAAGAAAUUUUGGUUAGUGAGAAAUCUGUGUAAAAUGUCUCGACACCGAACAGAUACCAGGUUUCCUUUUAACCCCUCCUCUGAUGAUUUUUAGCUUCCUUUGAUAAUCUGUGUCUGAACCAAAAUUUUCUUUAGAGGUUACAAAAUAGUGAUUUUUCAGAUUCAUUUAUUCUACAUUUUUUGGCAUACUUUUCUGUCUCAGCGUUUUCCAUCUCAGCAGCAGCAGUGCUUUGGUUGCCUUAAAAUGUAGCUCCUGCUGAAAAGGAAGAAUAAAUGCUUAAUUUUUUUUCUCUUUGCCAACUUUCUCUUCCAUUAUCUUGUGUUCAGAUGAAACCAUUUGACAGAGCUUUUGUCAGUUAUUGCAAGUUGUUCUGGUUAGAAGGUCAGUGUUGAGAGGCUGGCACUGUGGCGUACUGGGUAAACCCACUGCCUGCAGCUCCAGCAUGCCAUAUAUGGGCGUCGGUUCGAGAUCGCUGCUCCACUUUCAGUCCAGCUCUCUGUGUGCCCUGAGAGGGCAGUGUACAUACUUGGGCCCCUGCUCCUGUGUGGCAGACCUGGAGGAGCCUCCGGGCUUCGGAUUGGCCCAUCUCUGGCCGUUGUGGUCAUCUGGGGAGUGAACCAGCAGAUGGAAGACUCUCUCUCUCUCUCUCUCUCUCUCUCUCUCUGCCUCUGCCUCUGCCUCUGCCUCUGCCUCUCUGUAACUGCCUUCUAAAUAAAUAAAUAAAUCUUUUAAAAAAAGUCAGUGUUAAUCCACGGUGACAGCCAGUUUGAAGAAUCUGGAGAUUAUUUUUCUUCAGCUAAUUGAGAGACCAGUUUAUCUUUUAUUUUAAUUCUGAAAAUAUGAAACCAAAGGAACCUUUUUAAGAAAGUAUUUUGGCUCUCGUGCAUCUUUCUUCCCUAACGAAAUUUGGAAUUUUUAUUUUGUUUAUAGAAAGUAAACUUUGCCAGCUCUGUAUUGCAUUUUCACCUUUGCAUGGCAGUUUGUGCUGGCGGUGACAGUUUUAACCUGGAGCAGAAGAAGGAAACGUUCACUUGCGCUUGUUUGCAGCACUGCCUCUCAUGCAUCUCAGUUGGGAAUUAUCGUAUGCUCCGUCCCGCAGAAGUGUUCUGUGCCAGUCUCGUUUCCACCUCUGCCUCUCCAACACUUCCUCCCUUCCCCUUUUUGGUCACUGGUUCCUUCUCUCUAACUCACCUGUAAAAUAAGCUGUAUGAAGUUAUGCGUUCUCCACACAAUCCCUGCAGCUCAGACUUCCCAAGGUCACAGCAGUGGCCUCAGAGGCUUCCAGACACCUUCUUCCGUCCUUGACCUUCCCGGGAGCUGCAAGUUCCAGACCUGUUUGGCCCAUCUCUUCAGUGAGCUUCUUAACCUGCUUGCCCCUCGGGCAGUGCAAACUGGAUGUCUUAAACUGAGUCCAUUCUCUUCCUACCCAGCCCCCAAACCAUUUCCUAUUUCUCCUCGGUAUUUCCUGUUACAGUAAGACGUUCCGCUCCCUUCCCCCUGCCAUACAGUUCAGUUGAUAACAGCUACAAUAUUUGUAAAGUUAGUGAAUUUUAACAUUCUAAAGGAGCUUCAGUUAAUAUUUGUUUUACAGAAUUCUACAAAUUUCAUUGUAUUUUUAAAGAAACAGAGACAAUGGAGCUAGAACAGAAGUUUAAAAUCAGAAGUUCAUGGGUAGUAAAACCACUGCUUGGCAUGCCCACGUUUCAUGGCUGAAUGCCUGGGUUUGGGUCCCAGUGCUGUUCCUAAUUGUAGUUUCCUGCUAAUGAGCACCCUGGGGGAGGCAGCAUUGAUGGCUCAAGUGGUUGGUUCCCUGCCACCCAUGUUGGAGACUCCAGUUGAUUUAGGGACUCCUGGCUUUGGCCUGCACAGCCCCAGCUGUUGGGGUGUUUGGGGGGUAAACUGGCAGAUGGGAAUGCUCGCCCUCUUUUUCUCUGCCUCUCAAAGAAAUAAAUUUUGAAACCAAAGGUUCAAAUCAAUGACUCGUUUAAAUAUUUUAAAUUGAUACGAAAAGGCCAACUUGUCCAGUUUCUAAAAAUAGAUAUGUAAAGUACUUAAAAUACUAACUACAAAGGAUUGCUUGGUAUUAAAAUUGGUGUUCAUGGAACACACCCAGGUGUGUGCCCAUAAGCAUGAUACCAGUGAUUUUUAUUUUUUAAUUAUUGUGAAGCUUCAAACAAGCUUUAUAACUUCUAUGACUAUGAAUUCCUUUCCUUUAAUUACUUCUGUAACACUCCACACUGAUGUUUGGAAACUCUCCCUUAUUUAAAAAAAAAUAGAGUUUGUUACUCUGUUGUAUGUUACAAAAGAACUGUAGACUUCGGAAUGCAGUUUAAAGAUGACAUAUGCCAUGCCAACAAAUGCCUUGUAUCCUAUGGCACUGCCGUAAUUCAGAUUUGUCUUUAUUUUGGAAAUAAAAGUUCACUGUAAUUUUUUUCAUUCACAUUGUUACAUAUUUUUUUCUGAAAAAGAAAAGAAAAUGUGAAACACAAUUUAGCCCUCAUUAUUUAUUUGUAGAUCCUGCAGCAUCAUGUUGCAAUUAAUUUUUUGGAAGUUUCUGUUAAAUGUAAUAUUGCUUCUCUUGUUACCAUACCAAUUCUUUCUAUUUAUAAAUGUAUUUUGAUGGGCAGUAAAAAAAAGUGUCCUAACAGUUUAAAUAGAGAAAAUGUGCGUUAGACAAUUGCCUAUAAAAAGUGCUCUGUGUUAUCCAAACAAUUCAUACUAUGAACUUCACUCUUACUGUUGUAUGCAGUUCUCACUAUUAUGCAAAUAAGCUUAGAUAAAUAAAACCAAUAGAUUACCAUAAAAAAUACUAAAUACAAACAGAUUUUUUAGCAGGAAAAAAAAUACAGAAUAAGUGGUGUUUGAUUUUUUUUAACUGUUCCAGACUUGGUUUUCCAGAUCUUCAGGACUUGUCUAGAACUCUAGAAAUGUUGUUCUUUUUCCAGAUAAAUUUUGGGGGUACUUUGAGUCCGUUGAAAUGUGAGCUAGGACUCCAGUUGAAUUCCUACCAGUGUCCAUAGCUGUCAGGCUGCCCCUCUUUCUGUAUCUCUAGGUUGGUGCCCAUUGGAUGGUUUCAUCAAUAGUCUGAACACUCUGGAUUAUAGCUGGGUGUCACUAACUGCUUUCUCAGGGAAGCCUGCGUUCCCUCCUGGGAGGUUGGAGUUUGCAUUUCUUUGGCCUUUCUCCUUUGCUUCAUUGUUUUAGAGACCUUGAACCUGGUAGAAUUCUGUUUUCUUCUCAGGUUUACUUCUAAUAUGGUAGGGCCGUAGUUCUUACAUUAAAUGACAUUUAGCUUAAUUCUGAAUAGUUUUCAUGGGUGUUCUCCCAUCAGUAUAAUUCUUACAGCUUAUGGAUGAGGUUAAGUAUGGACUCAAGGUCACACAGCUUGUAAGUGAUAGCCCUUUCGUUUGACCGCAGACCUGAUUCCAAAGACAGUGCUGUCCAUUAUGCCAUGCUAGCUACUGCUACUUACAGGUCCCAGUGUAAUGGGAGGGGGAUAGGGCUGCACUUUUACAUGAGUGUACCUUUGACUCUGCUUCUUCAAGAAUGCCCCUAGCAAUUCUAUGUGUGCCAUCCAUUCUGCAUAGUUUUCUUUCUUUUUUGCUUUUAAGGCUUAUGUAUUUAUUUCAAAGUGUUAAAGAGAGAGGAGAGACAGAGAGACAGAUCUUCCAUCCACUGGUUUACUCCCCAGAUGGCCACAACAACCGGGGCUGGGCCAGGCUGAGGCCAGGAUCCAGGAGCUUCAUCCAAGUCUCCCACAUGGGUGGCAGGGGCCCAAGUACUUGGGCCAUGCUCCGCUGCAUUCCCCAGGCCUUUAGCGGGGAAUUGGGUGCUGGCAAUGCACGUGGCGGCUUUACCUGCCACAUCACAGCCCUGGCCCCAUUCUACCUAAUUUUCACAACUUGACUUAAGCAUCACCACCUUCCUGGUGCCUUCUCAGCUAGUGUCAGACCCCAGAACCAUAGAAUCUGAUCACCUGUAUUUGGGUAUUUUGUGCCUGUGCAUGUUUUCACCCUCACACUUCCAGUGUUUGACCACUCCGGUUGGUCUGUAUGCCUCAAUUAGACAAGUAAGUUCCUUGAGGAAAGUGACAUUGCCUGUGUAUCACCAGCACAAAUAUAGUGCCUGGCAUAGAGUAGGCAUUUAGUCAACAUUCUUUUAGUAAAUAAGUAAGUUCUAAUAUGUUUUUUAGAUUAAAAAUUCCUCCUAACUAUAAAAAGCUAGCACAAUGCAGGUUUCUGGGGUGGUGGGUCAUUCUGUAUUGUGAUUACCCCCACACACAUAAAGAAGUCCAUUUUAUCAUGUAUUGUUUUUUAAAGAAAAUGGCACUACUUUUUAAGGAUUUAAGUGGGUUUUUCUCUUUUUUUCUUUUUGAGAGACAGGAAGAAAGAGAUCUUCCAUCUGCUGGUUCACUCCUUAAAUGCCCACAGUGGGUAAGGCUAGGCCAGGCUGAAGCUGGGAACCGGGAACUCAGCCUGGGUCUCCGUGGGAGGCAGCAGCUCCCUGCUUGAGCAGUUACUGACUGCCUCCCAGGGUGAGUGUUAGCAGGAAGCUGGGACUGGGAGUGGACAGGGCACUUGACCCAGGCUCUUUGAUAUGGGCACAGGAGUUCUGACCACUGUAUUUUUGUUUGUUGUUUGUCUUAAGAUCUAUUUAUUUAUUUAUUUGAAAGUUGGAGUUACAGAGACAGAGAGGGAGAGAAAGACUCGAUCUUCUAUCCUCUGGUUUCACUCCUGUGAGGGCCCUGGAUAGAGUUCCCUGUUCCUGGUGUAGACUUGGCCCAGUCCCAGCUGUUGUGGGGCACUUGGGGAGUAAACCAGCAGAUCUUGCCACCUCUUUCUUUCUGCCUUUAAAAAUAAAUAAUUAAGAAAAGAACUUGCUAUUUGAUCCAGUAGCAGAUGAUAGAACAAUAGAAUAAUAGAAUGAUUUGCCUUACCGAGGUCUCCCACUACUUCUUACUGAAAACAGCCAGGGCAGUCAGAGUACAUGCAUUCUGUUGUGGAAAUUUAAAAGUAGGAUGCUGCUCACAAGGGAACACUUUACUGUAAUUAUAUAUCUUGUUGGAUGCAAAAAAGCUGCUCAUGCCCCCAAGGCAAUUCUUCUGCAAGUCAUGUAGUUGAGUGCGAUGGCCACUGGGUGGUGACAGAGACCAGAGUAGGAUUCAAGAUUGACAAGCCUGAAGGGACUUAAGAGGGACUCUUUCCCUAUUUAGGGACAGUUGACUUUUGUAGUGGUGGUGCUGGUGGUGUUUUAAAGAAAAACAUGUUAAAAAAAAUCAAAAAUUUUUCUCUUUAUUCUAAAAUGUGUCCAGUUACAUGUUUUUGAAGCAGAUUAUUGUCAUUAUUAGCACUGCUGUAAAAUUCUCACCACUGCAGAUAAUCACACAUCAGUGAAAAACAUCCCCGAUGAGUUAUUUUGAUGAAAAACAUUGUAUGUUAUAUCUGAUAGGAAAUGUGGUGUUUCCUACCUCUUUAUUUUUAUUAUUUUUUAAAUAUUUAUUUUAUUUAUUUGAAAGAGUUACAGGGAGAAGUAGAGCCACAGAGAGAGGUCUUCCAUCUGCUGGUUCACUCCCUAAAUGGCCGUAAUGGCUGGAGCUGAGCCAAUGCAAAGCUGGGAGCUAGAAGCUUCUUUGGGUCUCCCACAUGGGUACAGGGGCCCAAGGACUUGGGCCAUCUUCCACUGCUUUUCCAGGCCAUAGCAGAGAGCUGAAUUGAAAGUGGAGCAGCCGACACUUGAACCAGUGCCUAUAUGGGAUGCUGGCACUGCAGGUCAGGGCCUGAAUGCACUGUAUCACAGCACCAGCCCAACUUCCUACCUUUUAAGGGGGAAAUCAGUAAACUUUCAUUUUACUGAAGAGGAAAAAAGCAUUGCUGUGUCUUGAAAAGAAGCCUUGUACAAAAGCAUAGAUAGUAAAUAGUAAUACUUACUGCCUACAUUUAGCUGAAUGUUUUGACGUCAGGCUUGAAUCUGUUAGUUACAAUAAGUUGCUUAAAUGUGAAAGUAAAUCUGUAAACCAAAGGCCAUGUAUACAGUGUGUGUGGUAGGGUGGGUGGGGUAGUUCAAGGUUGAAAUAGUUCUAAAAAAGAUUGUACUAAAAUGCUUCAUGUUUUGCUUGGAUCUAUUUUUGUGAGAGAGAAAACAAGUAGAGAGUAUUUAGCGUCUUAUGAAAAUAUUAGUGAUGGUGGCAUUUGCCCUUCCAUGCAAGUUGAGUAGCUAAUCAAAAAUCGCCUUCCCAAGGCAGUCAGAUAUGUUAACGACCUUAGAGAUGAGCUGGCCCAGGGACAGAGGCCUUGUGUUUGAGAGGCUUUUACCCUGGUCUGGUUUGAGCUCACCAGCAUGUCCCUGCUCGUCCUAGGUUGUCUGUGGCACCUCUGUCUUGGGCUUCACUGUUCCUGUCACCUCUGCUUCCCUCUUUCUGGUCCACUCCGUUAUUUGCCUCCCGGGACCUGUCCCCCUCCUCCCUGUCCCCCAUCCUUCUCUCCCCACUUCUUCCCCGGAUGUCUGCUUGCUCCUCUCACUCCUGCUCUCACCCUGCUCAUACUCCUGCUCCUGGAAGGCACAGCUUUCCUCUGCAGGUGGUGCUGGCUUGGGCGCCCCAUAGAGCCUCCUCCCAGAGAGGUGAACAGCAUUACUGCCAAUUUCACACUAUCCAGAGGUUUGGGGUGAGUUAGGGAAGUGACUUGUGUGGGGCCUAAUCCUGCAGUGUCAUCUGGCAACAGGUAUUUAUGGUAGAAGUUGAUCCUAGCUUCAUGGGCCGUCUGUUGGUUAGGCGUGUUAGCACUCAGCACGCAUCCUGGUCACAGAUCACCACGAAGCAGGCGAGUGAGCUGAUACUGAAAUUAAGCAAAGCGCAACCCUGCAGCCUGGCCCUGGCACCGGUACGGGUGCCUCUCCACCGAGCAGUGCCUCCUAGCCUAGCUUCCUUCACUGCCCUUGAAACUGGGGCUUUUAAACUAUGUAUAUUAGUUAACUCUGUAUUUCUCUCUUCCUUAUUGAAAAUCUUUAUGGAGGCAAAGAAGCCGUAUCCUUUAAAUGGUUUUAUACCUUUGAAGUAGUUACCAUGUGCUUCUGGUUCCCAAUGAACAGUUGUCAUUCAGGAACUAAUUAGCUAGAGUGUUAAUUUGUCUGUACUGGAUUCCCUGCCACCACCACUCCCAAGCCCUGUGACACAUGGACCAUGGGUAUUGAUAACCAGUGUGUUUAUGACCUGCCUAUAAGGACAGUGUGCCAUUCUCUAAUUCACAUGAAUUAUGCAUGAAUGAGUGUGUAUUUUGUCAGCACCUUCCCUGUCAUUCUAUUACUAUUUCAGAUAUUGUGGGAAGAAGUACGGUAGAAGUAGAACUCACGGUGGUCCACAGAGGGAAGGGAAAUGUACUGUGGGCUACCAUGAAGAAACUUUCAGAUGCUGCUUUUGAAUUUUUGGGAGUAGCCUGAGAUGUUUUUCCUCUUAGGGUGCAAUUUGACCUCUUACCCACUCAAAUAAUGGGGCAUGUUGAAUUUGUUGUUAAUUCUAACAUGACUUAAAUAUAGGCCAGUGUUAAGGUAAAUGUUUUCUUGCCCUUUAUAUUGCAAAAUUAAAUCUCCUCUGUACAUGAAGACGCAUUCCCUUGCCUGAUCUCCUCUGUCACUCCGUUCCUUCUCAGGUUUUUCCUCCUCCUGAGAAAUACAUGACUUACAUCUGUAACACACAGGUUACCGCGUGUCCCGAUGAAUCUUCGAUGCAUUUAAAGGGCAUUGGAUUGAGCAUCUGAGGAUAUUGCACCGUAGUGUAGUCUGCGAGGCAGUCUUUGCUCCAGAGGUGCUCAGCUGUCUCUUUCAGUUUUCUUUCUUCUCCGGCCACCUUCUUCCCCCUCCGCUCUAGAGUUGUGGUUGUUACUGUAAUCUCACCCACCACAUUUUCCCUUUAUCAAACCCUCUGGUGGCUCCCUUCUUCACUCUCUCCCCUACCCCGACAGUGUAACUAAUGCCAGGAAAGUGACUCCUUCUUUUGGGAAGAGAAUAACUAGUGAACUGAGGGGCCACUGGGAUCCAUUUUGAAGGCAGACAUUAUUCUUGAUAUGUGUUACUUCCAUGUUUUCAGCAAAAAAAAAAAAAAAAAAGAA